Molecule: ribosomal RNA, 492 nt
Filed under: uncultured bacterium
Lineage: Bacteria
Description: partial 16S ribosomal RNA
Rfam family: Bacterial small subunit ribosomal RNA
Source: RNAcentral
AGUGAACGCUGGCGGUAGGCCUAACACAUGCAAGUCGAACGGCAGCACAGUAAGAGCUUGCUCUUACGGGUGGCGAGUGGCGGACGGGUGAGGAAUACAUCGGAAUCUACUUUUUCGGGGGGGAUAACGUAGGGAAACUUACGCUAAUACCGCAUACGACCUACGGGUGAAAGCAGGGGAUCUUCGGACCUUGCGCGAUUGAAUGAGCCGAUGUCGGAUUAGCUAGUUGGCGGGGUAAAGGCCCACCAAGGCGACGAUCCGUAGCUGGUCUGAGAGGAUGAUCACACACACUGGAACUGAGAAACGGUCCAGACUCCUACGGGAGGCAGCAGUGGGGAAUAUUGGACAAUGGGGGAAAGCCUAAUACAGCAAUACCGCGUGGGUGAAGAAGCACUUCGGGUUGUAAAGCCAUUUUGUUGGGAAAGAAAAGCAGCAGGUUAAUACCCCGCUGUUCUGACGGUACCCAAAGAAUAAGCACCGGCUAACUUCGUG